This 431-nucleotide ribosomal RNA is filed under the name uncultured Actinomycetales bacterium. Its description in RNAcentral is "bacterial SSU rRNA". It matches the Rfam family "Bacterial small subunit ribosomal RNA", at positions 28 to 476 of the family's 1533-position model. The record is from RNAcentral. Lineage: Bacteria; Bacillati; Actinomycetota; Actinomycetes; Actinomycetales.
GACGAACGCUGCGGCGUGCUUAACACAUGCAAGUCGAGCGAUGAAACACCUUCGGGUGUGAAUUAGCGGCGAACGGGUGAGGAACACGUGAGAAAUCUGCCUUCAACUCUGGGAUAACUCCGGGAAACCGGGGCUAAUACCGGAUAUGAGCCUUGAUCGCAUGAUCGGGGCUGGAAAGUUUUUCGGUUGAAGAUGAUCUCGCGGCCUAUCAGCUUGUUGGUGAGGUAAUGGCUCACCAAGGCGACGACGGGUAGCCGGCCUGAGAGGGCGACCGGCCACACUGGGACUGAGACACGGCCCAGACUCCUACGGGAGGCAGCAGUGGGGAAUAUUGGGCAAUGGAGGAAACUCUGACCCAGCGACGCCGCGUGAGGGAUAAAGGUCUUCGGGUUGUAAACCUCUUUCAGUAGGGAAGAAGCGAAAGUGACGGU